GAUGAACGCUGGCGGCGUGCCUAAUACAUGCAAGUCGAGCGAACAGACGAGGAGCUUGCUCCUCUGACGUUAGCAGCGGACGGGUGAGUAACACGUGGAUAACCUACCUAUAAGACUGGGAUAACUUCGGGAAACCGGAGCUAAUACCGGAUAAUAUAUUGAACCGCAUGGUUCAAUAGUGAAAGACGGUUUUGCUGUCACUUAUAGAUGGAUCCGCGCCGCAUUAGCUAGUUGGUAAGGUAACGGCUUACCAAGGCAACGAUGCGUAGCCGACCUGAGAGGGUGAUCGGCCACACUGGAACUGAGACACGGUCCAGACUCCUACGGGAGGCAGCAGUAGGGAAUCUUCCGCAAUGGGCGAAAGCCUGACGGAGCAACGCCGCGUGAGUGAUGAAGGUCUUCGGAUCGUAAAACUCUGUUAUUAGGGAAGAACAAAUGUGUAAGUAACUAUGCACGUCUUGACGGUACCUAAUCAGAAAGCCACGGCUAACUACGUG
Molecule: ribosomal RNA, 497 nt
Filed under: uncultured bacterium
Lineage: Bacteria
Description: partial 16S ribosomal RNA
Rfam family: Bacterial small subunit ribosomal RNA
Source: RNAcentral